This 30-nucleotide non-coding RNA is filed under the name Rattus norvegicus (Norway rat). Lineage: Eukaryota; Metazoa; Chordata; Mammalia; Rodentia; Muridae. The record is from RNAcentral.
UGACAGAAGCAAUCUGCCCGUGUCAUCCUC